This 250-nucleotide ribosomal RNA is filed under the name uncultured Pasteurellaceae bacterium. RNAcentral's name for it is "partial 16S ribosomal RNA". It matches the Rfam family "Bacterial small subunit ribosomal RNA", at positions 86 to 339 of the family's 1533-position model. The record is from RNAcentral. Lineage: Bacteria; Pseudomonadati; Pseudomonadota; Gammaproteobacteria; Pasteurellales; Pasteurellaceae.
UGCUGACGAGUGGCGGACGGGUGAGUAAUGCUUGGGAAUCUGGCUUAUGGAGGGGGAUAACUACGGGAAACUGUAGCUAAUACCGCGUAGAAUCGGAAGAUGAAAGUGCGGGACCGCAAGGCCGCAUGCCAUGAGAUGAGCCCAAGUGGGAUUAGGUAGUUGGUGGGGUAAGGGCCUACCAAGCCUGCGAUCUCUAGCUGGUCUGAGAGGGUGAUCGGCCACACUGGGACUGAGACACGGCCCAGACUCC